Molecule: long non-coding RNA, 241 nt
Filed under: Lathyrus oleraceus (garden pea)
Lineage: Eukaryota; Viridiplantae; Streptophyta; Magnoliopsida; Fabales; Fabaceae
Description: Pisum sativum (pea) long non-coding RNA (PSAT_LNC028713)
Source: RNAcentral
UUUUAAAUCAAUUAAAUCACCUAGAAGAGGCAUUUUUGACAUUUAAAUUAUUUUGUGUUUCUUUGAUUCAAUCCAUAUCAUCAAUUCGAAAUAAUCAAUGGUCCAUGUUAGCUAUCCACGUGCAUUUUUUAUUCAACCAACCAAAUAAAAAAUAAUCAAAUUAAAAAAAAUAGAAAAGAAAUAACAAACAAGGAGGAAAUUCUUUCCAUGAGCAGUUGACAGCUAGGAUCACCAAUGGUGC